UCCAAUGUGGUGUAGUGGUUAACAUUGCUGUCUUUCAUUAAAUAUCACAGCAGCCCGGGGUUCGAUUCCCCGCAUUGGAA
This 80-nucleotide transfer RNA is filed under the name Lentinula boryana. RNAcentral's name for it is "tRNA-Glu". It matches the Rfam family "tRNA". From Rfam's summary of the family: Transfer RNA (tRNA) molecules are approximately 80 nucleotides in length. Their secondary structure includes four short double-helical elements and three loops (D, anti-codon, and T loops). Lineage: Eukaryota; Fungi; Basidiomycota; Agaricomycetes; Agaricales; Omphalotaceae. The record is from RNAcentral.